GAACCGGCGAUCUGGGGUGCGCGAAACCUCGAGGCGCAGAAAUUCGAUUCACACUUUUCAAGGAUUCAUCAAUCAUUGACGUAGCGGUACUCUUUUUAAUACCGAAAAAAUUCCCCGGUGAUUUAAAAGAUUAAAAAAAACCGACCUAUAUAAUUAUCCGAGAAUUUGCACAAUUUGGGACGUACAAUAACUGACAAUGAAGCAUACUGCGAUAAAUAAGGUUUCUUAUGUUUGGAGUAAGUAUUUGGAUCAUUUUUUUCAGUAAAACCUUUGUUGCCCGGCAGUGGCGUAACUACCACCCGGGAAGCCCUGGCACGGUCUGGGGGCCCCAGCUUAGAAGGGCCCCCUAAAUAUUCUGGACUGUUACGGUCGAAAGAAUUGGUCCCAAGCCCGUAUAAGAAAAAAGGAGGGAGUUUUGUGUGAGCUAUAGAUUACUUACAGAUAGCUAGAUCAAUGACAAAUCUUGACUUAAUCUUCUGUUCUAUCCGUUUUUGUUGUCAAAAAUAGGGGUUUCGUUUCCAUUUGAAAAUUUCAAGUUGACCUUCUAAUGAUCCCUAAAUUUGACCCCUAUAUAAAGGGCCCUAUUCAAUUUUUGCCCGGGGGCCCCCAACAUUGUAGUUACGCCACUGUUGCCCGGGAUUUCCGGUUUUUCAUUUUGAACUAUUGUUGCUGUCUGUAGCACGGCCCCAUCAAACGAUAACUCACGCAAAACUAUCAAAAAUACUUGUCUUGGCAACUUUAACGGAGGUUUUCGCGAAACUUGACGCGAUACGCCAUUUUUACGGCCAGAUUCGUUUUAAGCGAAAAAUUCUUCAGAAAAUACAUUUCAUUUAUAAGUUUAUGGAAAAUCUUCUUUCAGCAUUAGAACCAAAAUAUAGGCAAAUUGAUAAUGUAACACAUGCAAAGUAUGACUAAAGUCAAUUCUUUUUAAAUGUUGUUAAUAGUACGUUAAAGAUCAAUUUUCUUUCUUUUUUUUCAACACAAAGAUGUCAUGGAAUUGGAAGCUUUGCUAUUAUAUAGACAGGUACUAGCCCAGAAUCAUUUAAAAACCUUAUACAGAAGACGAAUUCGUAAAACCUUAUUCGAAUUCAGCAGGAAGAAGACGAAUUGGGUUCACUCCCAUUCGGCGCUCUCUUUGACAGAAAAUCGAAAUAAUUUUGCUACUCUGUCGUGCAUUUGCGAGAUAGUAUCUUUAGCAAGCCCUUUGCUAUUCCGUUCUUGUCCCGUAUAUGCUCCUAUCUACGUUUUCUUUCUACGGCUUCCUCUUCCGUGUUUGCAUCUCCGUUGCUUCCUGUCCAUCGUUCGUUGUGCUCGUCACGUAUCCGGCGCCACGACGUCGAGCCAGCGGCGUCGGCGACACGCCGCCGCGCCGGUGUGCUCUCAGCAACCGGAUCGGGUCGUCGCGAUAGGUACAUUCAGAAUCGAACCACGUGACGAACCUCGUGACAACGAGAGAGAGAAAGAGGGAAACGCGAAAUAAAAUUUUUCAUAAAGUUGAAUUUUCUAAUAUAAAUUUUUCUGUUUGCAACGCGCGUAAUACAACGAAGAUGCGAGCAUAUAAGUGAACGUAUAGUUGGUUACUUUAUGCCUCUGCAUUUUCACAGUUUCCCACUAUUUAGGGGCUGAAUUAUAAAUAGCAUAUGAUGCAUAUUUUCUGAGAGGUAGACACUGCUAACAACAAAACGCGCCACUUAUUAAUUUUUCGAUGACAAAAAUCGAUAGAACUCUGCGGGGGCUACCGGGAACUCUCAACAGAACUGCCGGAACUGUUCAAAAAUUUUUUCGAGUCUUAUAAGACAGAAACUGUCACCU
Molecule: long non-coding RNA, 1812 nt
Organism: Vollenhovia emeryi
Lineage: Eukaryota; Metazoa; Arthropoda; Insecta; Hymenoptera; Formicidae
Exons: 2
Source: RefSeq, a predicted model, not a curated record